ACGAACGCUGGCGGCGUGCCUAAUACAUGCAAGUAGAACGCACAGUUUAUACCGUAGCUUGCUACACCAUAGACUGUGAGUUGCGAACGGGUGAGUAACGCGUAGGUAACCUGCCUGGUAGCGGGGGAUAACUAUUGGAAACGAUAGCUAAUACCGCAUAAUAUUAAUUAUUGCAUGAUAAUUGAUUGAAAGAUGCAACUGCAUCACUACCAGAUGGACCUGCGUUGUAUUAGCUAGUAGGUGAGGUAACGGCUCACCUAGGCGACGAUACAUAGCCGACCUGAGAGGGUGAUCGGCCACACUGGGACUGAGACACGGCCCAGACUCCUACGGGAGGCAGCAGUAGGGAAUCUUCGGCAAUGGACGAAAGUCUGACCGAGCAACGCCGCGUGAGUGAAGAAGGGUUUCGGAUCGUAAAGCUCUGUUGUAAGAGAAGAACGGGUGUGAGAGUGGAAAGUUCACACUGUGACGGUAGCUUACCAGAAAGGGACGGCUAACUACGUG
This 504-nucleotide ribosomal RNA is filed under the name uncultured bacterium. RNAcentral's name for it is "partial 16S ribosomal RNA". It matches the Rfam family "Bacterial small subunit ribosomal RNA", at positions 29 to 507 of the family's 1533-position model. The record is from RNAcentral.